AAUCAACGCUGGCGGCGUGCCUCAGACAUGCAAGUCGAACGAUUAAGACUCCCUUCGGGGAGUGUAUAAAGUGGCGCACGGGUGAGUAACACGUAAGUAAUCUACCUUCGAGUGGGGAAU
Molecule: ribosomal RNA, 120 nt
Filed under: uncultured bacterium
Lineage: Bacteria
Description: partial 16S ribosomal RNA
Rfam family: Bacterial small subunit ribosomal RNA
Source: RNAcentral